RNAcentral lists this ribosomal RNA (465 nucleotides) under uncultured bacterium. RNAcentral describes it as "partial 16S ribosomal RNA". It matches the Rfam family "Bacterial small subunit ribosomal RNA", at positions 338 to 795 of the family's 1533-position model. The record is from RNAcentral.
CCUACGGGUGGCAGCAGUAGGGAAUCUUCCACAAUGGACGAAACUCUGAUGGAGCAACGCCGCGUGAGUGAAGAAGGGUUUCGGCUCGUAAAGCUCUGUUGGUAGUGAAGAAAGUUAGAGGUAGUAACUAGCCUUUACUGGAUGGUAACUACUUAGAAAGUCACGGAUAACUACGUGCCCGCACCCGCGGUAAUACGUAGGUGGCAAGCGUUGUCCGGAUUUAUUGGGCGUAAAGCGAGUGCAGGCGGUUCAAUAAGUCUGAUGUGAAAGCCUUCGGCUCAACCGUAGAAUUGCAUCAGAAACUGUUGAACUUGAGUGCAGGAGAGGGAAGUGGAAGUCCAUGUGUAGCGGUGGAAUGCGUAGAGAUAAGGAGGAAAACCAGUGGCGAAGGCGGCUUUCUGGACUGCAACUGACGCUGAGGCUCGAAAGCGUGGGUAGCAAACAGGAUUAGAUACCCCAGUAGUC